GCUGGCUUAGGUGUAAUUCACAGAGGUCACCUACUUCAGGGUAGGUCUUUGAUGGCACCGUAUCUACCCCUGAAUGGUGCUGCGGGGUCUAACAGUCCCUACUCCGAAGGUGGUGCCUUGUAUGCACUAGGUCUGAUUCAUGCCAACCAUGGUGAAGGCAUCAAACAAUUUCUCCGAGAUAGCCUCCGGAAUACAAGUGCUGAGGUUAUCCAGCACGGGGCUUGCUUAGGUCUGGGACUCGCUGCUCUUGGAACUGCUGAUGAGGAAAUUUACGAGGAUGUAAAAAAUGUCCUGUACACGGAUAGUGCUGUAGCCGGGGAGGCUGCUGGCAUCAGCAUGGGGCUACUUAUGGUUGGUACUGCAAGUGAGAAGGCGAGUGAGAUGCUUGCCUAUGCUCACGAUACUCAGCACGAGAAGAUUAUUAGAGGGUUAGCACUGGGGAUUGCAUUGACUGUUUAUGGAAGGGAAGAACAAGCAGAUACAUUGAUUGAACAAAUGACUAGGGACCAAGAUCCG
Molecule: unclassified non-coding RNA, 516 nt
Filed under: Hevea brasiliensis (rubber tree)
Lineage: Eukaryota; Viridiplantae; Streptophyta; Magnoliopsida; Malpighiales; Euphorbiaceae
Source: RNAcentral